Molecule: ribosomal RNA, 440 nt
Filed under: uncultured bacterium
Lineage: Bacteria
Description: bacterial SSU rRNA
Rfam family: Bacterial small subunit ribosomal RNA
Source: RNAcentral
CCUACGGGUGGCAGCAGUGAGGAAUAUUGGACAAUGGGCGAGAGCCUGAUCCAGCCAUGCCGCGUGCAGGAAGACUGCCCUAUGGGUUGUAAACUGCUUUUAUACAGGAAGAAACACUCCCUCGAGCAGGGAGCUUGACGGUACUGUAAGAAUAAGGAUCGGCUAACUCCGUGCCAGCAGCCGCGGUAAUACGGAGGAUCCAAGCGUUAUCCGGAAUCAUUGGGUUUAAAGGGUCCGUAGGUGGAUAAUUAAGUCAGAGGUGAAAGUCUGCAGCUCAACUGUAGAAUUGCCUUUGAUACUGGUUGUCUUGAGUUAUUAUGAAGUAGUUAGAAUAUGUAGUGUAGCGGUGAAAUGCAUAGAUAUUACAUAGAAUACCAAUUGCGAAGGCAGAUUACUAAUAAUAUACUGACACUGAUGGACGAAAGCGUGGGGAGCGAACA